This 506-nucleotide ribosomal RNA is filed under the name uncultured bacterium. Its description in RNAcentral is "partial 16S ribosomal RNA". It matches the Rfam family "Bacterial small subunit ribosomal RNA", at positions 29 to 523 of the family's 1533-position model. The record is from RNAcentral.
AGUGAACGCUGGCGGUAGGCCUAACACAUGCAAGUCGAACGGCAGCACAGGAGAGCUUGCUCUCUGGGUGGCGAGUGGCGGACGGGUGAGGAAUACAUCGGAAUCUACUCUGUCGUGGGGGAUAACGUAGGGAAACUUACGCUAAUAUCGCAUACGACCUAAGGGUGAAAGCAGGGGAUCUUCGGACCUUGCGCGAUUGAAUGAGCCGAUGUCGGAUUAGCUAGUUGGCGGGGUAAAGGCCCACCAAGGCGACGAUCUGUAGCUGGUCUGAGAGGAUGAUCAGCCACACUGGAGCUGAGACACGGUCCAGACUCCUACGGGAGGCAGCAGUGGGGAAUAUUGGACAAUGGGCGCAAGCCUGAUCCAGCCAUACCGCGUGGGUGAAGAAGGCCUUCGGGUUGUAAAGCCCUUUUGUUGGGAAAGAAAUCCAGCUGGCUAAUACCCGGUUGGGAUGACGGUACCCAAAGAAUAAGCACCGGCUAACUUCGUGCCAGCAGCCGCAGUAA